This 523-nucleotide ribosomal RNA is filed under the name uncultured Lysobacteraceae bacterium. RNAcentral's name for it is "bacterial SSU rRNA". It matches the Rfam family "Bacterial small subunit ribosomal RNA", at positions 8 to 526 of the family's 1533-position model. Lineage: Bacteria; Pseudomonadati; Pseudomonadota; Gammaproteobacteria; Lysobacterales; Lysobacteraceae. The record is from RNAcentral.
AGAGUUUGAUCCUGGCUCAGAGUGAACGCUGGCGGCAGGCCUAACACAUGCAAGUCGAGCGGCAGCGCGGGGGCAACCCUGGCGGCGAGCGGCGGACGGGUGAGGAAUUCGUCGGAAUCUGCCUUUUUGUGGGGGAUAACGUAGGGAAACUUACGCUAAUACCGCAUACGACCUACGGGUGAAAGUGGGGGACCUUCGGGCCUCACGCAGAAAGAUGAGCCGACGACCGAUUAGCUAGUUGGUGGGGUAAAGGCCCACCAAGGCGACGAUCGGUAGCUGGUCUGAGAGGAUGAUCAGCCACACUGGGACUGAGACACGGCCCAGACUCCUACGGGAGGCAGCAGUGGGGAAUAUUGGACAAUGGGGGCAACCCUGAUCCAGCCAUGCCGCGUGUGUGAAGAAGGCCUUCGGGUUGUAAAGCACUUUUGUCCGGAAAGAAAUCUUCCAGUUUAAUACGCUGGGAGGAUGACGGUACCGGAAGAAUAAGCACCGGCUAACUUCGUGCCAGCAGCCGCGGUAAUAC